This 400-nucleotide ribosomal RNA is filed under the name uncultured bacterium. RNAcentral describes it as "bacterial SSU rRNA". It matches the Rfam family "Bacterial small subunit ribosomal RNA", at positions 129 to 524 of the family's 1533-position model. The record is from RNAcentral.
CCUGGUAGUGGGGGACAACGUUUCGAAAGGAACGCUAAUACCGCAUACGUCCUACGGGAGAAAGCAGGGGACCUUCGGGCCUUGCGCUAUCAGAUGAGCCUAGGUCGGAUUAGCUAGUUGGUGGGGUAAUGGCUCACCAAGGCGACGAUCCGUAACUGGUCUGAGAGGAUGAUCAGUCACACUGGAACUGAGACACGGUCCAGACUCCUACGGGAGGCAGCAGUGGGGAAUAUUGGACAAUGGGCGAAAGCCUGAUCCAGCCAUGCCGCGUGUGUGAAGAAGGUCUUCGGAUUGUAAAGCACUUUAAGUUGGGAGGAAGGGUUGUACGCUAAUACCGUGCAAUUUUGACGUUACCGACAGAAUAAGCACCGGCUAACUCUGUGCCAGCAGCCGCGGUAAU